AAGUCGUAACAAGGUCUCCGUUGGUGAACCAGCGGAGGGAUCAUUACCGAGUUUACAACUCCCAAACCCCUGUGAACAUACCACUUGUUGCCUCGGCGGAUCAGCCCGCUCCCGGUAAAACGGGACGGCCCGCCAGAGGACCCCUAAACUCUGUUUCUAUAUGUAACUUCUGAGUAAAACCAUAAAUAAAUCAAAACUUUCAACAACGGAUCUCUUGGUUCUGGCAUCGAUGAAGAACGCAGCAAAAUGCGAUAAGUAAUGUGAAUUGCAGAAUUCAGUGAAUCAUCGAAUCUUUGAACGCACAUUGCGCCCGCCAGUAUUCUGGCGGGCAUGCCUGUUCGAGCGUCAUUUCAACCCUCAAGCACAGCUUGGUGUUGGGACUCGCGUUAAUUCGCGUUCCCCAAAUUGAUUGGCGGUCACGUCGAGCUUCCAUAGCGUAGUAGUAAAACCCUCGUUACUGGUAAUCGUCGCGGCCACGCCGUUAAACCCCAACUUCUGAAUGUUGACCUCGGAUCAGGUAGGAAUACCCGCUGAACUUAA
RNAcentral lists this non-coding RNA (540 nucleotides) under Fusarium oxysporum. Its description in RNAcentral is "eukaryotic LSU rRNA". The stretch from base 195 to 348 matches the Rfam family "5.8S ribosomal RNA". The record is from RNAcentral. RNAcentral also lists the same sequence under 1 other name. Lineage: Eukaryota; Fungi; Ascomycota; Sordariomycetes; Hypocreales; Nectriaceae.